AUUUUACAGAUUCUGCGUCCUCCUUCUUUCUCUGAUUCCGAGGACGGAAUCCCUAUAAGGAGGGUAGAUUGUAGUGACCCGGACUUUUAAAUAUUUUUAUUAAUAUUAUAAAUGAUUUUCUUAAAAAGAAAGGAAUAAGAUUUAAUAUUUUAUUCCAGUUUAAUGAGUUUUCAAAGUUUUAUAUUUAAACCCCGGGUUAUUGUGUUAUUGAUAAAUAAUUGUAUUUUCAAAACUGAUUUUCAUAUAUUGUUUUGAAAAUUCUGUAUGAAUAUUAUGUGAAUAUAUGUGUUAUGUGAUUAAGUGGUAUUGGUGAAUUUGUUUGUUAAUUAGUUAUGAUUAAUUAUUAAUGUUACAUGAUUAAUAUAUGAAUUUUUGUGAAUUUUGUGUUAUCUAGUUUAUUGAGCUGAAUGCUCGUAUGUGUUCGUAUUCGCGAGAUUUCAAUUUCUAUAUGCUCAGAAUGAAAUAUAGUUUAUUUGGGUAUUUUCAUAUUGAUUUAUGGAAUGUUAGAUGAUUUUAUAAUCGAUUUACGGAUUUAAUUGCGUAUAUUUAUAUUUAUUUAUUAAUUAUUUGACUUCCGUAAAACCGUCCACUCGUAACGAGGUAGCAAAUUUUCUUCCCGGAAGUUUCAACAAAACUCACCUUUAGCCUAAUUUGAAUAUUCCGGACAUUUUUCGUGUUUUGACUUUUUCGAUCCGGAGUACGGUUUUCCCCGUAGUCGGUCCGGCGGAGUUUUUCGGGUAUUUUAAUUGUUGAUAAUUAUCUGGUUGUCUCGAUAAACGUGAAACUAGAUAUUUUGAUUCAUCCUUAUCUUGUAAUAAUUGCAGUGGGACCCGCAUACUAAUGACUGAUUAAAAAGCCCCGUUUUGAUGAUUAUCUUGAAAACCAGUACCGAUUGGACCCCGCUUUAUUAAUAUAAAGCUAUUAAAUACGUAUUUUCAUGUCAUAUACGAUCCAAAGGGGUACCAAUUAUUUGUAAAUAUAAAUAGACCUUUCUAUAGCUUUAUUUCACCCGUAAAAUCAUUUCACCAGUUUCUCUGCACGAAUACCGAGAGAAACCAAGCGGUGUUCUUCGUGUUCUUCAUAAUCAAACGAAGAUUUGAAGGUGUUAUUGGAGUCAGAAUCAAGCGUGC
Molecule: long non-coding RNA, 1130 nt
Filed under: Daucus carota (carrot)
Lineage: Eukaryota; Viridiplantae; Streptophyta; Magnoliopsida; Apiales; Apiaceae
Description: long non-coding RNA (DCAR_LNC001901)
Source: RNAcentral